RNAcentral lists this transfer RNA (64 nucleotides) under Mictyris longicarpus. RNAcentral's name for it is "tRNA-Gly". The record is from RNAcentral. Lineage: Eukaryota; Metazoa; Arthropoda; Malacostraca; Decapoda; Mictyridae.
AUUUUUUUAAUAUAACAAGUAUAUCUGACUUCCAAUCAGAAAGUCUAAAUUUUUAGAAAAAAUA